This 253-nucleotide ribosomal RNA is filed under the name uncultured bacterium. RNAcentral's name for it is "partial 16S ribosomal RNA". It matches the Rfam family "Bacterial small subunit ribosomal RNA", at positions 524 to 776 of the family's 1533-position model. The record is from RNAcentral.
UACGUAGGUGGCAAGCGUUGUCCGGAUUUAUUGGGUUUAAAGGGUGCGUAGGCGGCUUAUUAAGUCAGUGGUGAAAGCCUGAAGCUCAACUUCAGAAUUGCCAUUGAUACUGAUGAGCUUGAGUAUAGUUGAGGUGGGCGGAAUGUGUCAUGUAGCGGUGAAAUGCUUAGAUAUGACACAGAACACCGAUUGCGAAGGCAGCUCACUAAGCUAUAACUGACGCUGAUGCACGAAAGCGUGGGGAGCAAACAGG